Molecule: ribosomal RNA, 428 nt
Filed under: Acidobacteriota bacterium
Lineage: Bacteria; Pseudomonadati; Acidobacteriota
Description: Acidobacteria bacterium partial 16S ribosomal RNA
Rfam family: Bacterial small subunit ribosomal RNA
Source: RNAcentral
UGGGGAAUUUUGGACAAUGGGGGAAACCCUGAUCCAGCCAUCCCGCGUGUGCGAUGAAGGCCUUCGGGUUGUAAAGCACUUUUGGCAGGAAAGAAACGUCAUGGGUUAAUACCCCGUGAAACUGACGGUACCUGCAGAAUAAGCACCGGCUAACUACGUGCCAGCAGCCGCGGUAAUACGUAGGGUGCAAGCGUUAAUCGGAAUUACUGGGCGUAAAGCGUGCGCAGGCGGUUCGGAAAGAAAGAUGUGAAAUCCCAGAGCUAAACUUUGGAACUGAAUUUGUAACUACCGGGCUAGGGUGUGCAGAGGGGAGUGGAAAUUCGCCUGGAGGAAGUGAAUGCCGUAGAAAGCCGAGGAACACCGAUGGCGAAGGCAGCCUCCUGGGAUAACACUGACGCUCAUGCACGAAAGCGUGGGGAGCAAACAGG